This 1380-nucleotide ribosomal RNA is filed under the name uncultured bacterium. RNAcentral's name for it is "16S ribosomal RNA". It matches the Rfam family "Bacterial small subunit ribosomal RNA". The record is from RNAcentral.
UUCGCCCUUAGAGUUUGAUCCUGGCUCAGGACGAACGCUGGCGGCGCGCCUAACACAUGCAAGUCGAACGAGCGAGAGAGAGCUUGCUUUCUUGAGCGAGGGGCGAACGGGUGAGUAACACGUGAGGAACCUGCCUCAAAGAGGGGGACAACAGUUGGAAACGACUGCUAAUACCGCAUAAGCCCACGACCCGGCAUCGGGUAGAGGGAAAAGGAGCAAUCCGCUUUGAGAUGGCCUCGCGUCCGAUUAGCUAGUUGGUGAGGUAACGGCCCACCAAGGCGACGAUCGGUAGCCGGACUGAGAGGUUGAACGGCCACAUUGGGACUGAGACACGGCCCAGACUCCUACGGGAGGCAGCAGUGGGGAAUAUUGCACAAUGGGGGAAACCCUGAUGCAGCGACGCCGCGUGGAGGAAGAAGGUCUUCGGAUUGUAAACUCCUGUUGUUGAGGAAGAUAAUGACGGUACUCAACAAGGAAGUGACGGCUAACUACGUGCCAGCAGCCGCGGUAAAACGUAGGUCACAAGCGUUGUCCGGAAUUACUGGGUGUAAAGGGAGCGCAGGCGGGAAGACAAGUUGGAAGUGAAAUCCAUGGGCUCAACCCAUGAACUGCUUUCAAAACUGUUUUUCUUGAGUAGUGCAGAGGUAGGCGGAAUUCCCGGUGUAGCGGUGGAAUGCGUAGAUAUCGGGAGGAACACCAGUGGCGAAGGCGGCCUACUGGGCACCAACUGACGCUGAGGCUCGAAAGUGUGGGUAGCAAACAGGAUUAGAUACCCUGGUAGUCCACACUGUAAACGAUGAUUACUAGGGUUGGAAGGAUUGACCCCUUCAGUGCCGCAGUUAACACAAUAAGUAAUCCACCUGGGGAGUACGCCCGCAAGGUUGAAACUCAAAGGGAAUUGACGGGGGCCCGCACAAGCAGUGGAGUAUGUGGGUUUAAUUCGACGCAACGCGAAGAACCUUACCAAGUCUUGACAUCCCUUGACAGACAUAGAAAUAUGUAAUCUCUUCGGAGCAAGGAGACAGGUGGUGCAUGGUUGUCGUCAGCUCGUGUCGUGAGAUGUUGGGUUAAGUCCCGCAACGAGCGCAACCCCUAUUGUUAGUUGCUACGCAAGAGCACUCUAGCGAGACUGCCGUUGACAAAACGGAGGAAGGCGGGGACGACGUCAAAUCAUCAUGCCCCUUAUGUCCCGGGCUACACACGUAAUACAAUGGCGUAAACAAAGGGAAGCGAGAUCGUGAGAUGGAGCAAAUCCCAAAAAUAACGUCCCAGUUCGGACUGUAGUCUGCAACCCGACUACACGAAGCUGGAAUCGCUAGUAAUCGCGGAUCAGAAUGCCGCGGUGAAUACGUUCCCGGGUCUUGUACUAACCGCCCGUCA